UUUGCGACGGAUUUGCGUGGAA
RNAcentral lists this non-coding RNA (22 nucleotides) under Arabidopsis thaliana (thale cress). Lineage: Eukaryota; Viridiplantae; Streptophyta; Magnoliopsida; Brassicales; Brassicaceae. The record is from RNAcentral.